This 402-nucleotide ribosomal RNA is filed under the name uncultured bacterium. RNAcentral describes it as "bacterial SSU rRNA". It matches the Rfam family "Bacterial small subunit ribosomal RNA", at positions 355 to 774 of the family's 1533-position model. The record is from RNAcentral.
UGGGGAAUCUUGCACAAAGGGGGCAACCCUGAUGCAGCGACGCCGCGUGAGCGAUGAAGCCCUUCGGGGCGUAAAGCUCUUUCGACCGGAACGAUAAUGACGGUACCGGGAGAAGAAGCUGCGGCUAACUACGUGCCAGCAGCCGCGGUAAUACGUAGGCAGCAAGCGUUGUUCGGAGUUACUGGGCGUAAAGAGUGCGUAGGCGGUUUUCUAAGUUCGGUGUGAAAUCUCCCGGCUUAACUGGGAGGGUGCGCCGAAGACUGGGAAGCUGGAGUGUGGGAAAGGCAGGCGGAAUUCCUGGUGUAGCGGUGAAAUGCGUAGAUAUCAGGAGGAACACCGGCGGUGUAGACGGCUUGCUAGACCAUAACUGACGCUGAGGCACGAAAGCGUGGGUAGCAAACA